Long non-coding RNA from Acanthochromis polyacanthus (spiny chromis), 3120 nucleotides. RefSeq lists it as uncharacterized. The record is from RefSeq and is a predicted model, not a curated record. The transcript is spliced from 4 exons. Lineage: Eukaryota; Metazoa; Chordata; Actinopteri; Pomacentridae.
AAUCAGGAGGAAAGUACAUGAAGCUGCGAGUCGAGUGUUUGCCGGACAGCUUAAAGUUCUUUGCUACCAUUUAGCAAAUUCAUGGCAGUGAGGAUGAGAUUCCUCUCACAGAGGAGGGCUGUCUCGUGUAAGAGCCGGGCCAUUAUGUCUAAAGACAGGCGGGAAAUAACACAGCCAUUAGUAUGUGCAUUUGCUUCUUCGCCAUGCCCUCUCAAGUCUCUGAAAUACUGGCUCCAUUUAGAUACAUUCCCAUUCAGUCACUUCCUGACACUUUGAAAGGAAAUAAUUUAAAAAAUGGAUAAUAGAAGUGAACAGUGGGAGCUCAUGAAUAUUUAUCGCUGCUAUGACUUCCUUCACAAAACAUUUCUUCUUCGUCUUCACAUGCUCCGGUAAAACAUUACAUGCUCCGUGUUUACAGUAACAUUGCGAAGUUUCAGUCAUCAUUUAUGGAUAAUGAAGUCUUUACUUCCUUCUGGGAUCAAUGAGGAGUUAGAGAAUGAGAACAUGCAGUGGUCUAAUCAGUGCCCACUGCUCUUCAGCUGUCAUUACAGACACACACUGUUUCAGGGCUGCACUCCGGCUGCAAUUAUCCCUUUUGCCUGGGCCAAUAAAUGCCUAAUGCAUUAGUGAUGACCUCCCCAACCCACCAGCAACCCGCCCACUCCACCAGCUCUCUCAGCUGACUUGAUUGGAUUGCGUUUGGGUGGAUCGGGUCUUCCAGAUGUGUCUGUGGAUGCCCAGGAGAUUUGGUCAAAACUCUGUGGAAACUAGUGCUGAGGGACAUGCAGAGAUGGUGGAAACCAACUGGAAACCAAUAAACAAAGACUGGGCAGUGGGCUUCCUCCCUUCGUUCACACCAAUCUGUCUGGUGAGAGCAAAAGCUGCUGCAAAGAAGCGCCAGUGAUCAGAUUUAGCAUAGACCUGAAACCAUAGCAACUAACGAGAAGCUUUAGAAGGAGAAGUUCCAGUCAAUGCAGCGAUCGAUGCAAUAAAUCGGCCUCAUCAAGGACCUGAAGACCCACAAAAGGGAAACCAUGACAGACGAAGAUGGACGACCUUCCUCCAGCUCUGGGAAAAUAGAUUCUGCACGGAGGGCUCUUUUUAUAACACAACUCAUUAUUCAGGUGCGUUUUCACAUUUGUGACAGUAAAAUGUAAUUUCACACAUUGUGAAGAUGUUCCCGGCUUCUUCAACAUGCAACAUGUUUGCCUUUGAAUCCGCUGUGAGCCGCCUCUGUCACUCUGUGUUGUAUUUCCAGUUAAGAUGCCUGAUUGAGAUCAAUAUCACAAUAUUAACUUACAAAAACUCCUGCCAGCGACUGGAAAACAAUCUCAGAGGAUGACUGAUCCAGACUCAUCUGUUCAGAUCUGACUGCUACAUCUCUCCAUCUGCUCACAGCUCUGGCCUUUGCUAUGGAUGAGUAAUAUUUUGCUAUUUUUCACUCUAUGCCUCAAAAACCUUUAGUUGAAAUAUCUGGAAUCUAAUCUUGAAACUAUUUCUGGUAUUGAAGCCGCAGGUAAGACAGGGUCCAGCUGCUCAUUUCCAUCCAGAAAAGAGGAAAUCUUGAGUUUGAAUAUUUUAAUUUAGUGGAAACAACUUCAGAGAAAAGCAACACAGCCAAGAAAGCACAUUCAUAAAAAUCUCUCACAAAGUCACAGUGAGAGAAGUCAAACAGUCUUUUCCAGUUUAUAAUGCUUACUUCAUGCCACUUUGGGGAAAAAAAAACAACUUUCAAACUAUGUAUCAAUGCCAGUGUAAUUUGUAAUGUGUAUGUAAAGUAACAUACAAAUGGCACCACAGGGUUGUCACUCAAUUUUAUAAAGCAGAUUAAUUUCAGUGAAGUAGUUUUAUUGAUGUGAGCUCACAUGAAUCAUCGUAGCAGAACUACAAACCUUUUACUUGAUUACUUGGCAUGGUGUUUACAAAUAUGGUUCUACUAUGGAACUAGUUUGACAUGUUCAAGCGUUCUUUGUGUGAAAACUCAGAGAUUUCAGAUAUCAGAAGGUGGUUUUCAACUUUCUGCUUCACCUUUAAACUAAAUUUCCUUUACUAAGCCAGCCCUCCGGACUUCCAGUAAGCUGUGUUCCUAUUGGAUGUCCAGGUGGCUGCUUGGUGUUAUCAGGAACACCUGAGCAGCUCAGUGUCUUCCUGCUUUAUGUCUGCAGUCAAACAUUUCCUCUGCUUCUGUUCACUGAACCGGGUUUGGCUCUGUUGCUUUAGUUUGUUCUUUAGGCGUUGGCUUGCAGCUUCCAGCAGUAAAAUCCUCUUUAAUGUGUUUUUUGGUGUGUUUUAGGGCUUUGUACUGGAUAGUUGUCUUGGUAAAUGUGGUUCUUUAGCCACAGUUAGCACAUUGUGCUAAUGUGUGCAGUGAUUAGUGGAUUUGGUGCAGUUGAGUUGUCUUUAUCUUGGCAGUAGUGAGUCUUUAGAGGUUUUUGGUCAGACACAUUCUGGAUUCUUGUUUGUGAACCAACAUUGGUUGUCCAGAAGGUAAGAGUUCCUGUCCUGAUUCUCUGUUUAAAGAGCUUCUCUGGUAGGCUGCAGGAGACUUUAGCGUUUGGGUUGUGCUAGUUUGGUUUUUGUACGGUUUCAUUUGGACGACUAUCUUGAGGCUCCUCCAUGUGGUUUAGUGAGGUUUUCUGGAACAGUUCUACAAAGCAACCUGCAGCAGAAGAGACUAAGAGUUUUUAGGAAGUUCUGGAGAACAGACUUUAGAGCAGCACAAACACUGCAGUUUGAGCAGGAGAAGGUGAGCUUCAGAGUAGACAUGAGAAGGAAACCUCCUUGACCCGUGUGGUGAGGUCCUGUACCAAGAGUUUGAGCAGGUUGUGAAGAGUCUGCAGUUAUUUGGUCUGAAAGCACCAGAAAAGUCAACUCAAAGGAGAAAACGGGAGAUGUUGUUGGUUCUUCUGUCGCUCUGCAGUUUCCUUAGACUGAAUAUCAAGUUUCUAUUUUAAGUGAUUUACUGUGUGAGCCCAAGAAGACUUCAAUAAACUCCCUCCAUCCCCUGGACACAACAUACUUUAUGACCAUGUUCAUUUUUUUUUAAUGUUUUUAAAUUUUAAUCAUAGUUUUUUUUCUUUGCUUGUGUAGUUUUGUCAUCUGUGUGAAAGGUGCUAAACA